Mesocricetus auratus (golden hamster) is the source of this 876-nucleotide RNA transcript. It is a transcript of the gene named C-type lectin domain family 2 member E-like, with no coding region annotated. The record is from RefSeq and is a predicted model, not a curated record. Lineage: Eukaryota; Metazoa; Chordata; Mammalia; Rodentia; Cricetidae. The transcript has 4 exons.
UGAACUUCCACACAGUUAGAAUAGCCAUUGGGAAGCCAUGGAGCUUUGGUUAUGGUCGUAGACUUUUAUUGUGCUUACAUUUUUACACACUUAUCAGCCACAAAUUAGAAAAAAACACCAGGAAAGUUGACACUAGAAAAACCAUGCUCUUUAUAACUUUUUCAUGGCUCACAGGCUGCAUCCUGUCCUUCCUUCUCAUCUACAGCUUACAUCCCUCCUCCUUGUUCUCCUUUGUAAGUGUUACAGCAUGCUCACUCGCACAGCUCUUUACACUAUACAUUCUAGUCAAGAGAAAAGGAGAAUGUGAAGGAGGAUUGUGGGAGAGGAAGCUACAGGAUUCCAGGAACCAGGAACAGUCUGAAGGAGCUGAUGGCCUAGAAAUCAUUUCCUCACAGGGGAAACCAGAAAAUGACAACUGUGGACCUUGCAAUGCCAGCUGUCCAAGAGGUUGGAUUGGAUUUGGAAGUAAAUGCUUUUAUUUUUCUGAAGACAUGAGAAACUGGACAUCCAGCCAGACCUCCUGCAAGGCACAAGGAGCCCAGCUAGCUCAAUUUGACAGCCUGGAGUUGCUGUUUACAUUUCUGGGAGACCAGCCAUUGAAAACCGUGGAACUUGCUCUGACAUCUGCUCAAGAGACUGGAUUGGUUUUGGAAGCAAAUGUUUUUAUUUUUCUGAAGACAUGAGAAACUGGACAUCCAGCCAGACCUCCUGCAUGGCACUAGAUGCCCAACUAGCUCGAUUUGACAACCUGGAGGAGCUGGAAUUUCAUCCGAGGAGAAGGAAAAUAUUGCUACCUGAGUGACAGAGGGAUCAGCAGUAGCAGGAACUACAUGCCUAGGAAGUAUAUUUGUAGCAAGCCCAACAUGUGUAUUUCAC